GAGUUUGAUCCUGGCUCAGGAUGAAUGCUGGCGGCGUGCUUAACACAUGCAAGUCGAACGAUGAAGCCCAGCUUGCUUGGUGGAUUAGUGGCGAACGGGUGAGUAAUACGUGAGUAACCUGCCUUUAACUCUGGGAUAAGCCUUGGAAACGGGGUCUAAUACCGGAUACGACCAGUUCCCGCAUGGGAUGCUGGUGGAAAGGGAUAUGUACUGGUUUUAGAUGGGCUCACGGCCUAUCAGCUUGUUGGUGAGGUAACGGCUCACCAAGGCGACGACGGGUAGCCGGCCUGAGAGGGUGACCGGCCGCACUGGGACUGAGACACGGCCCAGACUCCUACGGGAGGCAGCAGUGGGGAAUAUUGCACAAUGGGCGCAAGCCUGAUGCAGCGACGCCGCGUGAGGGAUGACGGCCUUCGGGUUGUAAACCUCUUUCAGCAGGGAAGAAGCGAAAGUGACGGUACCUGCAGAAGAAGCGCCGGCUAACUACGUGCCAGCAGCCGCGGUAAUACGUAGGGCGCGAGCGUUGUCCGGAAUUAUUGGGCGUAAAGAGCUUGUAGGCGGUUUGUCGCGUCUGCUGUGAAAGCCCGGGGCUUAACCCCGGGUUUGCAGUGGGUACGGGCAGACUAGAGUGCAGUAGGGGAGACUGGAAUUCCUGGUGUAGCGGUGAAAUGCGUAGA
This 677-nucleotide ribosomal RNA is filed under the name uncultured bacterium. Its description in RNAcentral is "bacterial SSU rRNA". It matches the Rfam family "Bacterial small subunit ribosomal RNA", at positions 9 to 694 of the family's 1533-position model. The record is from RNAcentral.